RNAcentral lists this ribosomal RNA (465 nucleotides) under Vreelandella stevensii. RNAcentral describes it as "partial 16S ribosomal RNA". It matches the Rfam family "Bacterial small subunit ribosomal RNA", at positions 338 to 795 of the family's 1533-position model. The record is from RNAcentral. Lineage: Bacteria; Pseudomonadati; Pseudomonadota; Gammaproteobacteria; Oceanospirillales; Halomonadaceae.
CCUACGGGGUGCUGCAGUGGGGAAUAUUGGACAAUGGGCGAAAGCCUGAUCCAGCCAUGCCGCGUGUGUGAAGAAGGCCUUCGGGUUGUAAAGCACUUUCAGUGGGGAAGAAAGCCUUGGGGCUAAUACCCUCGAGGAAGGACAUCACCCACAGAAGAAGCACCGGCUAACUCCGUGCCAGCAGCCGCGGUAAUACGGAGGGUGCGAGCGUUAAUCGGAAUUACUGGGCGUAAAGCGCGCGUAGGCGGUCUGAUAAGCCGGUUGUGAAAGCCCCGGGCUCAACCUGGGAACGGCAUCCGGAACUGUCAGGCUAGAGUGCAGGAGAGGAAGGUAGAAUUCCCGGUGUAGCGGUGAAAUGCGUAGAGAUCGGGAGGAAUACCGGUGGCGAAGGCGGCCUUCUGGACUGACACUGACGCUGAGGUGCGAAAGCGUGGGUAGCAAACAGGAUUAGAUACCCGUGUAGUC